UACGGAGGAUCCGAGCGUUAUCCGGAUUUAUUGGGUUUAAAGGGUGCGUAGGUGGAUUGGUAAGUCAGUGGUGAAAGUUUGCAGCUUAACUGUAAAAUUGCCGUUGAAACUGCCAGUCUUGAGUGCAAAUGAGGUAGGCGGAAUGCGUCGUGUAGCGGUGAAAUGCUUAGAUAUGACGCAGAACUCCGAUUGCGAAGGCAGCUUACUGGGAUGCAACUGACGCUGAGGCACGAAAGCGUGGGUAUCAAACAGGAUUAGA
Molecule: ribosomal RNA, 259 nt
Filed under: uncultured prokaryote
Description: partial 16S ribosomal RNA
Rfam family: Bacterial small subunit ribosomal RNA
Source: RNAcentral